AACGUAGGAGACGAACGUUAUCCGGAGUUACUGGGCGUAAAGGGCGUGUAGGCGGUUUGUUAAGUCUGGCGUGAAAGCUCUCGGCUAAACCGGGAGAGGUCGUUGGAUACUGGCGAACUAGAGGAUGGUAGAGGCGUGUGGAAUUCCGGGUGUAGUGGUGAAAUGCGUAGAGAUCCGGAGGAACACCAGUGGCGAAGGCGACACGCUGGGCCAUACCUGACGCUAAAGCGCGACAGCAUGGGGAGCAAAC
RNAcentral lists this ribosomal RNA (250 nucleotides) under uncultured bacterium. RNAcentral's name for it is "partial 16S ribosomal RNA". It matches the Rfam family "Bacterial small subunit ribosomal RNA", at positions 524 to 773 of the family's 1533-position model. The record is from RNAcentral.